AAAAUUUACCCUUCAUUUUUCCUGGAAGCAUACGCUUUACACCUCAAACAUGCAUUCAUUUUUAGGUCAUUUAGCAUUUGCAUUUCAUCAUGGCAAUCGGAAUAUUUAAAAAAAAAAAAAAACGAAAAAAACGAAGAAAAAAAACGAAAAAUAAAUAAAAUAAAAAAAAAUAAUUAAAUAAAUAAAUAAAUAAAAGAAAAAAUCUCGAACUUGGACCUCUCUCAAAAGCCCACUAAGCUACCAAUAUUAGCCUAUAAAUACUAGAGUUUCAUUGAAACAAAACAGACAGAAAAAGGAAGGGAAGCAAAAAAACACUCUGAGGUUUCCUUGGAACAUAGAGUUUCAUUGAAACAAAACAGACAGAAAAAGGAAGGGAAGCAAAAAAACACUCUGAGGUUUCCUUGGAACAAAACCCUGGACAAAACCUGGAGAGAAACCUGACAGAGAACUCAGAGCAGCCUCCAAACCCUGAAGGGAACUCAACUGCACAGAAUCACCUCUGCCUUACAUAAACCCUAAAGAUUGUUU
Molecule: long non-coding RNA, 528 nt
Filed under: Lathyrus oleraceus (garden pea)
Lineage: Eukaryota; Viridiplantae; Streptophyta; Magnoliopsida; Fabales; Fabaceae
Description: Pisum sativum (pea) long non-coding RNA (PSAT_LNC020353)
Source: RNAcentral